RNAcentral lists this transfer RNA (71 nucleotides) under Candidatus Desulfovibrio kirbyi. Its description in RNAcentral is "tRNA-Thr". Lineage: Bacteria; Pseudomonadati; Thermodesulfobacteriota; Desulfovibrionia; Desulfovibrionales; Desulfovibrionaceae. The record is from RNAcentral.
UUUGCGGUGAAAGUGAGUGCAGUUUAUUUGUAAUCAGCAGGUCGUCAGUUCAAUUCUGACAGUCGGCUCCA